RNAcentral lists this ribosomal RNA (466 nucleotides) under uncultured bacterium. Its description in RNAcentral is "bacterial SSU rRNA". It matches the Rfam family "Bacterial small subunit ribosomal RNA", at positions 339 to 797 of the family's 1533-position model. The record is from RNAcentral.
GUACGGGAGGCAGCAGUGGGGAAUAUUGGACAAUGGGGGCAACCCUGAUCCAGCAAUGCCGCGUGUGUGAAGAAGGCCUUAGGGUUGUAAAGCACUUUAGGCUGGGAAGAAGAUAUCUGGUUUAAGAGAUGAGAUAUUUGACUGUACCGGCAGAAUAAGCACCGGCUAACUCCGUGCCAGCAGCCGCGGUAAUACAGAGGGUGCGAGCGUUAAUCGGAAUUACUGGGCGUAAAGGGCGCGUAGGUGGUUAUGUAAGAUUGAUGUGAAAUCCCUGGGCUUAACCUAGGAACCGCAUCGAUGACUGCAUAGCUGGAGUACUGUAGAGGGUAGUAGAAUUUCCGGUGUAGCGGUGAAAUGCGUAGAGAUCGGAAGGAAUACCAGUGGCGAAGGCGGCUACCUGGACAGAUACUGACACUGAGGCGCGAGAGCGUGGGGAGCAAACAGGAUUAGAUACCCCCGUAGUCCU